UCUCUCUCUCUCUCUCGCAAGAUUCCAUUCAGUCGCCGAUCUUUCCAACUGUUUCAAUAUCCGUCCUCUCUCUAACACAUACCAUAAUGUUCCCAGCAUCCCAAGGUCUUGAGAUUCUUCGUUUGAAUUCUGGGUUCUUCUGAGUACAUUGUGAAAAGCACAGGUUUGGAUUCGAUUGCUUGAAAUGGAGGGUGAUACAAAGUUGGAUGGGAAGGCAGUGCAGACAUUUCAGAAGAAUUUUAUUCAAGUCCAGAAUAUACUCGAUCAGAAUAGGGUGCUAAUCAAUGAAAUUAAUCGGAAUCAUGAGUCAAAGAUUCCUGACAAUUUAAGCAGAAAUGUGGGACUGAUCAGAGAACUCAACAACAAUAUCAGAAGAGUGGUUGAUUUAUAUGGUCAUCUGUCAACUUCUUUCACAAAAUCUGUGGAUGCUUCAUCUGAGGGAGAUUCAAAUGGUCACAAAAGGGGUAGGCCUGCUUAGAUUCAUAGAAAGAAAUGCAGUCCAUUUCUCUGAUCUUAAUUCUUUUACUUGAUGUCUUAUUAUUGUCUUGAAAUCGCUUGUUACAAAAUAAUAUUAGCUCCAAGUUACUCGAGCAUGAUUCGGUCAUUGAAUUUCUUGCUUUGUUCGUAUUUUAGCAUGAAGUU
This is a long non-coding RNA of Olea europaea var. sylvestris, 642 nucleotides long. RefSeq lists it as uncharacterized. The transcript has 3 exons. NCBI's taxonomy places the organism in Eukaryota, Viridiplantae, Streptophyta, Magnoliopsida, Lamiales, Oleaceae. The record is from RefSeq and is a predicted model, not a curated record.